Molecule: long non-coding RNA, 1017 nt
Organism: Glossina fuscipes
Lineage: Eukaryota; Metazoa; Arthropoda; Insecta; Diptera; Glossinidae
Exons: 3
Source: RefSeq, a predicted model, not a curated record
AGCGAUUACAUAAAUCCAUUGGCUUUCGCCGCACAGAAUGACACUGAAAGUAUAAUUAUUCGGUCGUAAAAUAUUCUCUCGUAAAUAAUUAAGAAUCUUUUUAGCGCAGUUGAUUGGAAAAUAAUAACUUGUAUCUUAGAAGCAUUCCCCACGCGAACGGUGGAUAAUAUAUAUAAGUAGAUGAUUACAUGCGAGUCUAAACUAUAGAACGCAGGCGGGCAGCAAGUAGGAGAAGAAAAAAGAAAAAUAUUACAAUAACUGCAAUUCCACCUAAAAGCUAAGCAUAAUAAUUGCCUGGCCUCCGUAGUAGCUUCAAGGUUUUCUUACUUACAAAGGCAGUUGAAUUGAUCUUCAUUUCAUUUAGUUUAAAAAAGACAAUCUUGCGGCUUCUUUCCGAACAAGCUUCGAUAAUAACUUCCGAAGAGAAACACCUUAUACUGCUGCUCCGGCUUGUUAUGCUUUCGGCUCGCUUCUCUAUGUGUUCCUACAUUUCGCAAGUCUCUGGGUCCUCUCUACGCGCAGUUCGAUAGCAGCAGACUCGUCCCUCAACCCGAUAAAGUUCUCUUUGAAUCUUAUUUACGUAUGUUUGGGUAAACGGCAAUAUUAAAAAAAGACAUCCAUAUAAAUUGUAUGGCUGCGUCGAAUCGUCCAGCUAUGCGGUAAACUAUCGAAAUUUAUUUGAAAAAGAAAAAAAGUCACUUUCAAAGAAAAGCAAAGAAGGAAAAGUCGAUUGACAUAAACCAAAAAUUUUAAAAUUAUUUACAUAAACAAUUUCUUGCAAAUAAAGAGAAAGCACUGCUACAGUGGAAAAAGGUGGAAAACAAACCUUACUCCUGGAAAUUAUUGUCUUCCAAAUAAACAGCAUCAGCAACCACCACAAGACAAAUAUAAACGCCAUAAAUAUCACUAAGAAGAGAACACUCAAGAAUGCCAAGCCGACGACUUCACUCUUCAUUACUGAUCUUUACACUAAUAACUGGCGAAACAGGAAUCGUAAAUGUAAAGUAAUUAAACGAA